This 227-nucleotide ribosomal RNA is filed under the name Enterobacter sp. RNAcentral's name for it is "partial 16S ribosomal RNA". It matches the Rfam family "Bacterial small subunit ribosomal RNA", at positions 97 to 326 of the family's 1533-position model. The record is from RNAcentral. Lineage: Bacteria; Pseudomonadati; Pseudomonadota; Gammaproteobacteria; Enterobacterales; Enterobacteriaceae.
GGCGGACGGGUGAGUAAUGUCUGGGAAACUGCCUGAUGGAGGGGGAUAACUACUGGAAACGGUAGCUAAUACCGCAUAACGUCGCAAGACCAAAGAGGGGGACCUUCGGGCCUCUUGCCAUCGGAUGUGCCCAGAUGGGAUUAGCUAGUAGGUGGGGUAACGGCUCACCUAGGCGACGAUCCACUAGCUGGUCUGAGAGGAUGACCAGCCACACUGACUAGACUACC